CGGAGCAUGCGGAUUAAUUCGAUGCAACGCGAAGAACCUUACCAAGGCCUGACAUAUACGAGAACGCUGCAGAAAUGUAGAAACUCUUUGGACACUCGUAAACAGGUGGUGCAUGGUUGUCGUCAGCUCGUGUCGUGAGAUGUUGGGUUAAGUCCCGCAACGAGCGCAACCCUCGUUCUAUGUUGCCAGCACGUAAUGGUGGGGACUCAUGGGAUACUGCCGGGGUCAACUCGGAGGAAGGUGGGGAUGACGUCAAAUCAUCAUGCCCCUUAUGUCUUGGGCUUCACGCAUGCUACAAUGGCCGGUACAAAGGGCUGCAAUACCGUAAGGUGGAGCGAAUCCCAAAAAGCCGGUCCCAGUUCGGAUUGAGGUCUGCAACUCGACCUCAUGAAGUCGGAGUCGCUAGUAAUCGCAGAUCAGCUAUACUGCGGUGAAUACGUUCCCGGGGAUU
This 451-nucleotide ribosomal RNA is filed under the name uncultured Microbacterium sp. Its description in RNAcentral is "bacterial SSU rRNA". It matches the Rfam family "Bacterial small subunit ribosomal RNA", at positions 933 to 1378 of the family's 1533-position model. The record is from RNAcentral. Lineage: Bacteria; Bacillati; Actinomycetota; Actinomycetes; Micrococcales; Microbacteriaceae.